CAACCCUUAAGCCUAGCUUAGUAUUGGGAACUGGCUUUACUGCCAUUCCUCAAAUUCAACGGCGGAUUUAUAGCAAUCUCUGAACGUAGUAAUUUUUUUCUCGUUUUUGAAAUACUGUAAACCUCAGCCGCUAAACCCCCCAAUUUCUUAU
This 151-nucleotide unclassified non-coding RNA is filed under the name uncultured Amphisphaeriaceae. RNAcentral describes it as "sequence contains ITS2". Lineage: Eukaryota; Fungi; Ascomycota; Sordariomycetes; Amphisphaeriales; Amphisphaeriaceae. The record is from RNAcentral.